GGAAGUAAACGUCGUAACAAGGUUUCCGUAGGUGAACCUGCGGAAGGAUCAUUAUUGGAUUUUGAAACUUCAGGCUGCUGCUGGCUCUCCUCGGAGUGCAUGUGCACGCUUGUUGUCCAUUAUUUCUCCCACUGUGCACAAAUUGUAGACCUUUCAGUAGGCCUAUGUUGUUUUUCACAAUCUCUGAAUGUAAUAGAAUGGUUUUGAAUCUUGGGAAAUACAAUACAACUUUCAGCAACGGAUCUCUUGGCUCUC
This 255-nucleotide unclassified non-coding RNA is filed under the name plant metagenome. RNAcentral's name for it is "partial contains small subunit ribosomal RNA, internal transcribed spacer 1, and 5.8S ribosomal RNA". The stretch from base 1 to 54 matches the Rfam family "Eukaryotic small subunit ribosomal RNA", at positions 1778 to 1831 of the family's 1831-position model. The record is from RNAcentral.